AGGAGGUGGGAUGACGUCAAGUCCUCAUGGCCUUUAUGCCCAGGGCUACACACGUGCUACAAUGGGUGGUACAAAGAGACGCAAGCUCGCGAGAGCAAGCAAACCUCAAAAAGCCAUCCUCAGUUCGGAUUGGAGUCUGCAACUCGACUCCAUGAAGUUGGAAUCGCUAGUAAUCGCGGAUCAGCAUGCCGCGGUGAAUACGUUCCCGGGCCUU
Molecule: ribosomal RNA, 214 nt
Filed under: uncultured Smithella sp.
Lineage: Bacteria; Pseudomonadati; Thermodesulfobacteriota; Syntrophia; Syntrophales; Smithellaceae
Description: partial 16S ribosomal RNA
Rfam family: Bacterial small subunit ribosomal RNA
Source: RNAcentral